This 496-nucleotide ribosomal RNA is filed under the name uncultured bacterium. RNAcentral's name for it is "bacterial SSU rRNA". It matches the Rfam family "Bacterial small subunit ribosomal RNA", at positions 29 to 530 of the family's 1533-position model. The record is from RNAcentral.
AUUGAACGCUGGCGGAAUGCUUUACACAUGCAAGUCGAACGGCAGCACGGGGCAACCUGGUGGCGAGUGGCGAACGGGUGAGUAAUAUAUCGGAACGUGCCCAAUCGUGGGGGGAUAACGUAGCGAAAGUUACGCUAAUACCGCAUACGAUCUACGGAUGAAAGCGGGGGGAUCGCAAGACCUCGCGCGAAUGGAGCGGCCGAUAUCAGAUUAGGUAGUUGGUGGGGUAAAGGCUCACCAAGCCAACGAUCUGUAGCUGGUCUGAGAGGACGACCAGCCACACUGGAACUGAGACACGGUCCAGACUCCUACGGGAGGCGAGCAGUGGGGAAUUUUGGACAAUGGGGGGAAACCCUGAUCCAGCCAUGCCGCGUGCAGGAUGAAGGCCUUCGGGUUGUAAACCGUCUUUCAGCAGGGACGAAGGGUGACGUGACGGUACCUGUAGAAGAAGCACCGGCCAACUACGUGCCAGCAGCCGCGGUAACGAGUCACGUCG